GAUGAACGCUGGCGGCGUGCCUAAUACAUGCAAGUCGAGCGAACAGACGAGGAGCUUGCUCCUCUGACGUUAGCGGCGGACGGGUGAGUAACACGUGGAUAACCUACCUAUAAGACUGGGAUAACUUCGGGAAACCGGAGCUAAUACCGGAUAAUAUAUUGAACCGCAUGGUUCAAUAGUGAAAGACGGUUUUGCUGUCACUUAUAGAUGGAUCCGCGCCGCAUUAGCUAGUUGGUAAGGUAACGGCUUACCAAGGCAACGAUGCGUAGCCGACCUGAGAGGGUGAUCGGCCACACUGGAACUGAGACACGGUCCAGACUCCUACGGGAGGCAGCAGUAGGGAAUCUUCCGCAAUGGGCGAAAGCCUGACGGAGCAACGCCGCGUGAGUGAUGAAGGUCUUCGGAUCGUAAAACUCUGUUAUUAGGGAAGAACAAAUGUGUAAGUAACUAUGCACGUCUUGACGGUACCUAAUCGGAAAGCCACGACUAACUACGUG
This 497-nucleotide ribosomal RNA is filed under the name uncultured bacterium. RNAcentral's name for it is "partial 16S ribosomal RNA". It matches the Rfam family "Bacterial small subunit ribosomal RNA", at positions 28 to 507 of the family's 1533-position model. The record is from RNAcentral.